This 761-nucleotide ribosomal RNA is filed under the name uncultured Spirochaeta sp. Its description in RNAcentral is "bacterial SSU rRNA". It matches the Rfam family "Bacterial small subunit ribosomal RNA", at positions 1 to 724 of the family's 1533-position model. The record is from RNAcentral. Lineage: Bacteria; Pseudomonadati; Spirochaetota; Spirochaetia; Spirochaetales; Spirochaetaceae.
UUACUCCAAGUCUGCGCGAAUGCAGUUUGACGAUUAGAGUGAGAUUUUGGCUCAGAAUCAGCUAGUACGGCGCGUAUUAAGCAUGCAAGUCGAGCGGCAAGGGCCUCCGGGACCCUAGAGCGCCGGACGGGUGAGUAACACGUGGACAAUCUGCCCCCCGGCCGGGGAUAGCCCAGGGAAACCUGGAUUAAUACCGGAUGAGACGGGACGCACGAUGGUGCGGUCCGGGAAAGGCGCUGCGGCGCCGCCGGGGGAUGAGUCCGCGACCCAUUAGCUGGCCGGCGGGGUAAAGGCCCACCGUGGCGACGAUGGGUAGCCGGCCUGAGAGGGUGGACGGCCACAUUGGAACUGAGACACGGUCCAGACUCCUACGGGAGGCAGCAGCUAAGAAUCUUCCGCAAUGGGCGAAAGCCUGACGGAGCGACGCCGCGUGAACGAAGAAGGCCGUGAGGUUGUAAAGUUCUUUUCGGGAGGGGGAAUUACCGUGGCAGGGAAUGGCCGCGGGAUGACGUGAAUCCCGGAAUAAGCCCCGGCUAACUACGUGCCAGCAGCCGCGGUAACACGUAGGGGGCGAGCGUUGUUCGGAAUCAUUGGGCGUAAAGGGCGUGCAGGCGGUCCUGCAAGUCCGGCGUGAAAGACCCCGGCCCAACCGGGGGGACGCGCUGGAAACUGCGGGGCUUGAGUACAGGAGGGGAUGCCGGAAUUCCAGGUGUAGGGGUGAAAUCUGUAGAUAUCUGGAAGAACACCGAUGGCGAAGGCAG